CAAAUCUCAGGUUUCUGUCUGCCAGGUAACACUACCCCUCUAAGCAGCAGAGGGCUUCUGCUGGUAUAUAGCAGAUGAUAGCACAUACAGAGAGUCCAUCACUUUUAUCAAUCCUACUAAGCCUUGCAAUAACCAUUCUGGAUAAGUAUUUGAAUUCUGCUAACCAAAAUCUGAACUAACUUAAGCCAAUAGCCCUCUGUUCCCCCACCCCUCCAGGCCUCAGUGUUUUGGAAAAUGCUUACUCCCUGACAGUGCAUGCGAAUGUGUACAUCUGUGGCUUUCAUGGGUACUACCAAGGACAAGUAAUCAGCCAAGCUCCAUGUUCCUUAUUGGUGCAUGAAAGAAUUGAUGGAUCUCUUAAGUGUGGUAGGAAGGAUGGGCUGUCCAAGCCAAACUCAUUGGGAAAUGUAGAAACUGAGAUGUAUGUGAAGACAGCACCCAGGAGAAGGGGUAGGCAUGUAGGCAAAGGUGGAUGAGUGGGAUGAGGAGGUGUGCUGGGCCAACGAUCCAACAGGCAUGUCACCAAAUAGUCCUGUAGAAUAAGCACUGUGGAACUUCCCUUGUUAUGUGCCCCUUUUUCAACAAACUCCAUGUCACCCAUGGGAAGGGGGGGAAAGGGACCCAACCACCAACUUGCUCCUGGAAAUGGACAUAUUGAGGGAUACUUCGUGGGAUCCUCCACACCCCACAGUGAAAACAAUGAUCCCAGAGAUGGGGAGGAAGGAGAUUUGUGAUGCUGAACCCAAGAACCCUUGGGCAGCUAGCCACUGUUACAACGGCAAGGACAGCCAAAGCCAGGGUCAGUCUCAGCCAAUGGAGAGCAGCAAGGACUGAGGAAGGCAGCUUUGGUGACACCUUCAAUUGCAGCAGCAAGAAUGACAGGCAUGAAACCACAGAAGGGGUGUUCCAGAGAGAAGAUGGUCUUGGAGCUGCUGAAAUGCAGUUAGUCAGCCAAGAGGCAGUAGAGCCAACAAACUUUGGGCAAAUAAGCCAGGGUGGAUGCACACUACUUAACAUUGUUGGAAGGGGAAGAGAAUGACAACUUCAUAUCUAUUUACCUGUUAGAAAAAGUUCAAGAAGCUUCUUUUUACCUUCCUUAGAACUUUGCAAAUCUCAAUGCUAACAGUCUCAGAGUUGUUUAAUGACUUGUUUGGCGGUGGGGGGGAGGAGGUACAUGCAGUUUGUUUAGGCUGUCUGUUUUUUCAGGUUUUAUCUACUUGAGAAUGUUUGAUGUUACCUUAAAUAAAAACUUGUUUAACUCCA
Molecule: long non-coding RNA, 1263 nt
Organism: Gavialis gangeticus (Gharial)
Lineage: Eukaryota; Metazoa; Chordata; Crocodylia; Gavialidae
Exons: 2
Source: RefSeq, a predicted model, not a curated record